ACACUCACCUGGCAGGGGAGAUACCGUGGUCAGGAAGGUGGUUCUCCCAGGGCGAGGCUUAUCCAUGGCACUCGGAUAUGCUGACCCCUGAGAUUUCCCUAAAUGUGGGAAACCCGACUGCAUAGUCUGUGGUGGUGGGGACUGCGUUCGCGCUCUCCCGGG
Myotis lucifugus (little brown bat) is the source of this 162-nucleotide non-coding RNA. The record is from Rfam. Lineage: Eukaryota; Metazoa; Chordata; Mammalia; Chiroptera; Vespertilionidae.